Molecule: ribosomal RNA, 253 nt
Filed under: uncultured bacterium
Lineage: Bacteria
Description: partial 16S ribosomal RNA
Rfam family: Bacterial small subunit ribosomal RNA
Source: RNAcentral
AACGUAGGGUGCGAGCGUUGCCCGGAUUUACUGGGCGUAAAGCGCGCGUAGGCGGCUGCGAAAGUGGGGAAUUAAAGCCCUCGGCUCAACCGAGGACAUGCUCCUCAAACUGUGCGUCUUGAGUGUAGGAGAGGGGAGUGGAAUUCCCGGUGUAGCGGUGAAAUGCGUUGAUAUCGGGAGGAACACCGGUGGCGAAGGCGGCUCCCUGGCCUACCACUGACGCUGAGGCGCGAAAGCGUGGGGAGCGAACGGG